Molecule: long non-coding RNA, 4624 nt
Filed under: Olea europaea subsp. europaea
Lineage: Eukaryota; Viridiplantae; Streptophyta; Magnoliopsida; Lamiales; Oleaceae
Source: RNAcentral
AAAAUAAGUAAUAAAAUGAUGAAAAAUCAGAAUAUUCUAGAAUAGUUUCCACCACUAUUUUGUGUGUAUAAAUAGGGGCUACCACUUUCAAAAAGUUGUAACAAAAAAUUCGAAAAAGCAUCCAACCUCUUGCAUUGUAAAUCAAAAGCCACUUUGUAAAAUUUUAAUAAAAUUAUUUUCUUCCUCCUUCAACUAUCUUGUUCAAUUAAAUUACUCAUAUUAUUUUUAUCCCAUAUAAAAUCUACUUAAUCACUUCUAUCUAAACUCAUUUAUUUCUUCUAUUCAAAAGAACAACCAUUAGUGGUAUCAGAGCUACGUUGGAUUGAUGUUGGGUGUAAGCACAUACUCUGGUAGAUGCUUUUCGUUCUUCCAUUCAUAUUUCAACAUUUAAUGGAGACAACUAUGAUUUUUGGUCCAUCAAAAUGAAGACCUGCUUUUGUGCGCAAAACUUAUGGAAUGUCUUCAAUAAUGGGUAUGCUAACUCAAAUGAUAUUUCCACUCUAUCUACUGCACAAAAGAAGGAACUUAAAGAGAAUUAAAAAAAAAAAUUCUCUAGCACUACUUGCUCUAUAAAUGAGCUUGACGGAUACUUAUUUUUCAAGAAUUAUGGGAGCUAAAACGUUAAAAGAAGCUUGGGAUAAAUUGAAUGAGAAGUGUCACGACAGUGACAAGGUACGUACUUAUCAUCUUCAAACUUUAAAAAGGAAUUUUGAAAAUUUAAAAAUGAAAAAUUAUGAAACUACGAAAGAUUAUUAUUCAAUAAUAGAUGAAAUAGUAAAUCAAUUAAUAUCUUAUGGAGAUAAUGUUUCUCAAAAGGAAGUCGUUAGAAAAAUUUUAAAUACCUGCAUAGAAAAAUAUGAUUCAAUUAUUGCAGCUAUUGAGGAUUCAAAAGAUAUAAAUAAAUUGGUAGCUACAGAAUUAAUGGGUUCACUAAAAGUAAAUGAAAAACUAUUAGAAAGGCGUUAUGAAAUUAACAUGAAAAACACUUUUCAAUCUAAAAUUAAUAUGCGGUUUCAGAAAUCUAAAGAAUGUGGGAGAAAAUUUAAAGAAAAUUAUAAAAGUAAAGAAAUUCAAGGAAAAGAAUUUGAUAAAAGUAGCAAGUAAUUUUCUUGUGGUAUAUGGAAAAGAAAAAGUCAUUUGAAGAAGAAUUGUUGGUUUAAAGGAAAACCACAGUGUCGUCACUGUAAGAAAAAUUUUGUCGUUUUAAGCAAAAUCAUCAAACUAAUUUCUCUUUAAAAAGGAUAUAGAAUGAGGUCUAUUUUAUGCCACUAGCCAGUAUGCAUUUGAUGACAAAUUGGAUACGCGGUAUCUAGACAAUAGUUGUAAUAAUCAUAUGAUAAAAGAUUAAAGUAUUUUCUGCAGUCUUGAUAAAAUUAAGGCAAAAAUCAAGAUUGACAAUGAAAAUUUUAUAGAGGCAACAGGCAAAGGCACUAUUGCCGUUGACACAAAAAUGGGCAAGAGAUAUAUUAAUAAAGUUCUCUUAGCCCCUACAAUAGAUCAAAAUAUAUUAGGUGUAGGUCAGAUGAUGGAGAAAUGAUAUACUUUACAUUUUGAAGGAGAUUCUUGCAUGAUCUAUGAUAAGAAAGAUAAAUAUCUUGUAAUUGCAAAAGUCAAAAAGCGCGAGAAAUAGAUGCUUUCCAAUUCAAUAGAGAUAUACAAACAAUGCGACAAUGAUGGCACAAGUGGACGAGUCAUGGCUGUAGUACAAAAGAUUUGGACAUUUCCACUUCCACGAGUUGAAGAUCUUUCAGCAAAAGAGAAUGAUGAAAGAUUUACCAAUCAUAAAAGAGAUUGAUGCAAUAUGCGAAGGAUGUUUGCUCGGGAAACAAAACCGCCAACUAUUUUCGACUGAAAAAUCUUGAAGAGCUCAAAUGUCAUUAGAGCUUAACAUACAGAUGUAUGCAGUGCAAUGCGUACUCCAUCACAUGAGCAAAACAGGUAUUUCAUUCUCUUUAUUGAUGACUACACUAGAAUGAUAUGGGUAUAUUUCUUACGUGAAAAUUUCCAAGUAUUUGGGAUUUUUAAAAGAUUCAAAUACUAUGUUGAAAAGGAAAGUGGAUGCAAUAUCAAAACUAUCAGAAAUGACAGAGACAAAGAAUAUACAUCAAAUAAAUUCAACAAAUUUGUGAAAAUAAAGGAAUGGAGCAUCAACUCACAGUUGGAUACGCGCCUAAACAAAAUGUCGUGUCAGAAAAAAAGAAUAGAACAGUAAUGGAGAAAACUGGAGCUAUGCUAAUGGAGAAAAGUUUUCCAAAAACUUUCUGGGCAGAAUCAGUAAGCAUUGCAGUCUAUCUACUAAAUUGAUGUCCGAAUAAAGUUGUGUAAGACAAAAUGCCAGCGGAGGCAUGGAGCGGACGAAAACCAUCAGCAAAGCAUCUCAGAGUUUUUGGCUGUAUCUGCUAUACACAUAUUCUACAGGAGAAAAAGAGGUCAGCUAGAUGGAAAAAUAGAAAAAAGGAAACUUCUUAGGUUAUAAUACUCAAUCAAAAGGCUAUCGAGUAUAUAAUUUAAGAACAAAGAAACUAAUUAUAAGUCAAGACGUUAAGUUUGAUGAAAAUGCCACCUAUAACUGGGAGACUGGCCAAGUCAAAAGAAAAGCUAUCAGCAUCCUAAUACAACCACAAAAAUAGAAAGGUGAUGUUGAAGAGAACAAUCAACCAAAGUCCCCACAACAAACAACUAUAGAAGAACCAGUCGACUUACCAAAAUAGUCACCAAGGAAAACACGAAUAUUCUCGAAAAUAUAUCAAAGCUGCAACUUGAUGAUCGUUGAACUAAGCAGCUUCAAAACAACCAAAAUGGAGAAAAGCUAUGGACGAAGAAAUAAAAUAAUUGAGAAAAACAACACUUGAGAGCUUUUAGAUCUUCCCAAGAUAAAGAAGUCAUAAGAGUAAAGUGAAUUUACUAGAUAAAGCUUAAUGUUGAUAGCUCAAUCCAAAAACAUAAAGUAAGGCUAGUCGCCAAAGAAUAUUCACAACAGUUUGGCAUCGACGACAAUGAGACAUUUGCUCCAGUUGUACGUCUUGACAUUAUAAGGAGGUUGAUUGCACUAGCUGUACAGAAAAAGUGGGAGAUUUACCAGUCAGAUGUCAAAUCAGCAUUUUUUAAUGGCUAUCUUGAAGAAGAAACUUAUGUAGAGUAACCUCAAGGGUACGUGGUACAAGGUAAAGAAGAUAAAGUUCUCAAACUAAGGAAGGCACUAUAUAGAUUAAAGUAAGCUCCGCAAGCCUGGUACAGCAGAAUAGACAACUACUUCACUGAGCAAUGAUUCAAGAUGAGCCAAAGUGAACCAACUCUAUGCAUCAAAAAUCAAGGUACAAGCAGCACACUUAUAAUCUUUUUAUAUGUUGAUGAUCUUAUCUAUACAGGGAACGAUGAGAAGAGGAUCGAAAAAUUCAAGUCUGAUCUGAGAUUAAUGCCCUAUAGCUCAAUGUGAAGAUGUGAUCUUCAUUGUUCAGAAGAAAUAUAUCACUAGUCUAUUAAAGAAGUUCAAGAUAGAAGGUUGCAAAACAGUCAUAACACCCUUGGAUGGCAACAAAUCUCUCAGAAAAGAAGACAGUACUCCAAAAUCAGAUAACUCACAAUUUUGAAACUUAAUUAGAAGUUUACUCUAUCUUACAACUACAAGGCUAGACAUAAUGUAUGCAACCAGCCUACUUUUAAAAUUCAUGCAAAAUCCAAGUCAAAUUCACUAUGGAGCUGCAAAGAGGAUACUAAGAUACCUCGAAACAAAAGACGAUGGAAUAAGGUAUCAGUCUAUGCCUGACUCAAAACUACUUGGGUAUACUGAUAGCGAUUGGGCAGGAUCAGUAGGUGAUAUGAAAAGCACAUCAAACUACGCAUUCACACUAGGCUUUGGAAUAUUCUCUUGGGCAUCAAAGACAUAGGCAACGGUUGCACAUUUAUCGGCUAAAGUAGAGUAUAUUGCAACAGCAAUGACAACGAGUCAAGCUAUAGGGCUAAAACGUAUACUUGAAGACAUAGUAGAACCACUAGAUGAAGCUAUAGGGAUUUACUGUGACAGUAAGUCUGCAAUAGCAAUGGACAAGAAUCUCAUAUUCCAUAACAGAACCUAACACAUUGGCAUCAAGUACCAUUUUAUCAGAGAAGCUAAAGCAAAUAAAGAGAUAGAACUCAAACAUUGCAAGACUGAAGAACAAUUAGCAGAUAUAUUUACGAAAGCACUACCACAAGCAAAGUUCAAGUUACUACGAGAAAUGAUCGGAGUAAUCAAAAUAUGCACCAAGGAGGAGCAUUAUUGGUUGCUGUAUAUUUUAAGAUUACUCUAGAAUUCACUAAAAUUGCCUUGGAGAGCAAGAAAAUAUAGGUCCCAAGAAUUUCUUGAUGAGCAAGCAAAAAUAGUAAUUUAAAAUUAAAAAAAAAAAUUAGAAUGUUCUAGAGUGUCUUGAGAAACAAGUAAUAAAAUGAUGAAAAAAUCAGAAUGUUCUAGAAUAGUUUCCACCACCAUUGUGUGUUUAUAAAUAGGAGCUACCACCUUCAAAAUGUUGUAACAAAAAAUUCAAAUGAGCUUCCAACCUCUUGCAUUGUAAAUCAAAAGCCACUUUGUAAAACUUUAAAAAAAUUAUUUUCAUCUUCCUUCAACUAUCUUGUUCAAUUAAAUUAC